AGCGUACACGGUGGAUGCCCUGGCAGUCAGAGGCGAUGAAGGACGUGCUAAUCUGCGAAAAGCGCCGGCGAGGUGAUAUGAACCUUUGACCCGGCGAUGUCCGAAUGGGGAAACCCAGUGUGAUUCGUCACACUAUCGUUAACUGAAUACAUAGGUUAACGAGGCGAACCGGGGGAACUGAAACAUCUAAGUACCCCGAGGAAAAGAAAUCAACCGAGAUUCCCCCAGUAGCGGCGAGCGAACGGGGAGCAGCCCGGAGUCUGAAUCAGCUUGUGUGUUAGUGGAACGGUCUGGAAAGUCCGACGGUACAGGGUGAUAGUCCCGUACACGAAAAUGCACAGGUUGUGAACUCGAAGAGUAGGGCGGGACACGUGGUAUCCUGUCUGAAUAUGGGGGGACCAUCCUCCAAGGCUAAAUACUCCUGACUGACCGAUAGUGAACCAGUACCGUGAGGGAAAGGCGAAAAGAACCCCGGCGAGGGGAGUGAAAAAGAACCUGAAACCGUGUACGUACAAGCAGUGGGAGCCUACUUGUUAGGUGACUGCGUACCUUUUGUAUAAUGGGUCAGCGACUUAUAUUCUGUAGCAAGGUUAACCGUAUAGGGGAGCCGAAGGGAAACCGAGUCUUAACUGGGCGUUAAGUUGCAGGGUAUAGACCCGAAACCCGGUGAUCUAGCCAUGGGCAGGUUGAAGGUUGGGUAACACUAACUGGAGGACCGAACCGACUAAUGUUGAAAAAUUAGCGGAUGACCUGUGGCUGGGGGUGAAAGGCCAAUCAAACCGGGAGAUAGCUGGUUCUCCCCGAAAGCUAUUUAGGUAGCGCCUCGUGAACUCAUCUUCGGGGGUAGAGCACUGUUUCGGCUAGGGGGCCAUCCCGGCUUACCAACCCGAUGCAAACUACGAAUACCGAAGAAUGUUAUCACGGGAGACACACGGCGGGUGCUAACGUCCGUCGUGAAGAGGGAAACAACCCAGACCGCCAGCUAAGGUCCCAAAGUCAUGGUUAAGUGGGAAACGAUGUGGGAAGGCACAGACAGCCAGGAUGUUGGCUUAGAAGCAGCCAUCAUUUAAAGAAAGCGUAAUAGCUCACUGGUCGAGUCGGCCUGCGCGGAAGAUGUAACGGGGCUAAACCAUGCACCGAAGCUGCGGCAGCGACACUAUGUGUUGUUGGGUAGGGGAGCGUUCUGUAAGCCGUUGAAGGUGGCCUGUGAGGGUUGCUGGAGGUAUCAGAAGUGCGAAUGCUGACAUAAGUAACGAUAAAGCGGGUGAAAAGCCCGCUCGCCGGAAGACCAAGGGUUCCUGUCCAACGUUAAUCGGGGCAGGGUGAGUCGACCCCUAAGGCGAGGCCGAAAGGCGUAGUCGAUGGGAAACAGGUUAAUAUUCCUGUACUUGGUGUUACUGCGAAGGGGGGACGGAGAAGGCUAUGUUAGCCGGGCGACGGUUGUCCCGGUUUAAGCAUGUAGGCGGAGGUUCCAGGUAAAUCCGGUACCUUUUUAACGCUGAGGUGUGAUGACGAGGCACUACGGUGCUGAAGUAACAAAUGCCCUGCUUCCAGGAAAAGCCUCUAAGCAUCAGGUAACACGAAAUCGUACCCCAAACCGACACAGGUGGUCAGGUAGAGAAUACCAAGGCGCUUGAGAGAACUCGGGUGAAGGAACUAGGCAAAAUGGUGCCGUAACUUCGGGAGAAGGCACGCUGAUAUGUAGGUGAAGCCCCUGCGGGUGGAGCUGAAAUCAGUCGAAGAUACCAGCUGGCUGCAACUGUUUAUUAAAAACACAGCACUGUGCAAACACGAAAGUGGACGUAUACGGUGUGACGCCUGCCCGGUGCCGGAAGGUUAAUUGAUGGGGUUAGCGGCAACGCGAAGCUCUUGAUCGAAGCCCCGGUAAACGGCGGCCGUAACUAUAACGGUCCUAAGGUAGCGAAAUUCCUUGUCGGGUAAGUUCCGACCUGCACGAAUGGCGUAAUGAUGGCCAGGCUGUCUCCACCCGAGACUCAGUGAAAUUGAACUCGCUGUGAAGAUGCAGUGUACCCGCGGCAAGACGGAAAGACCCCGUGAACCUUUACUAUAGCUUGACACUGAACACUGGUCCUUGAUGUGUAGGAUAGGUGGGAGGCUUUGAAGCGUGGACGCCAGUCUGCGUGGAGCCGACCUUGAAAUACCACCCUUUAAUGGCUGGUGUUCUAACGUAGACCCGUAAUCCGGGUUGCGGACAGUGUCUGGUGGGUAGUUUGACUGGGGCGGUCUCCUCCCAAAGAGUAACGGAGGAGCACGAAGGUUAGCUAAUCCUGGUCGGACAUCAGGAGGUUAGUGCAAUGGCAUAAGCUAGCUUGACUGCGAGAGUGACGGCUCGAGCAGGUGCGAAAGCAGGUCAUAGUGAUCCGGUGGUUCUGAAUGGAAGGGCCAUCGCUCAACGGAUAAAAGGUACUCCGGGGAUAACAGGCUGAUACCGCCCAAGAGUUCAUAUCGACGGCGGUGUUUGGCACCUCGAUGUCGGCUCAUCACAUCCUGGGGCUGAAGUAGGUCCCAAGGGUAUGGCUGUUCGCCAUUUAAAGUGGUACGCGAGCUGGGUUUAGAACGUCGUGAGACAGUUCGGUCCCUAUCUGCCGUGGGCGCUGGAGAAUUGAGGGGGGCUGCUCCUAGUACGAGAGGACCGGAGUGGACGCAUCACUGGUGUUCGGGUUGUCAUGCCAAUGGCACUGCCCGGUAGCUAAAUGCGGAAGAGAUAAGUGCUGAAAGCAUCUAAGCACGAAACUUGCCCCGAGAUGAGUUCU
This 2774-nucleotide ribosomal RNA is filed under the name Enterobacter cloacae. Its description in RNAcentral is "bacterial LSU rRNA". It matches the Rfam family "Bacterial large subunit ribosomal RNA". The record is from RNAcentral. Lineage: Bacteria; Pseudomonadati; Pseudomonadota; Gammaproteobacteria; Enterobacterales; Enterobacteriaceae.